GAAGAGUUGCGAACGGGUGAGUAACGCGUACGUAACCUGCCUACUAGCGGGGGAUAACUAUUGGAAACGAUAGCUAAUACCGCAUAACAGCAUUUAACACAUGUUAGAUGCUUGAAAGGAGCAAUUGCUUCACUAGUAGAUGGACCUGCGUUGUAUUAGCUAGUUGGUGAGGUAACGGCUCACCAAGGCGACGAUACAUAGCCGACCUGAGAGGGUGAUCGGCCACACUGGGACUGAGACACGGCCCAGACUCCUACGGGAGGCAGCAGUAGGGAAUCUUCGGCAAUGGGGGCAACCCUGACCGAGCAACGCCGCGUGAGUGAAGAAGGUUUUCGGAUCGUAAAGCUCUGUUGUAAGAGAAGAACGUGUGUGAGAGUGGAAAGUUCACACAGUGACGGUAACUUACCAGAAAGGGACGGCUAACUACGUGCCAUCAGCCGCGGUAAUACGUAGGUCCCGAGCGUUGUCCGGAUUUAUUGGGCGUAAAGCGAGCGCAGGCGGUUUAAUAAGUCUGAAGUUAAAGGCAGUGGCUUAACCAUUGUUCGCUUUGGAAACUGUUAGACUUGAGUGCAGAAGGGGAGAGUGGAAUUCCAUGUGUAGCGGUGAAAUGCGUAUAUAUAUGGAGGAACACCGGUGGCGA
This 640-nucleotide ribosomal RNA is filed under the name Streptococcus infantarius subsp. infantarius. Its description in RNAcentral is "bacterial SSU rRNA". It matches the Rfam family "Bacterial small subunit ribosomal RNA", at positions 90 to 718 of the family's 1533-position model. The record is from RNAcentral. Lineage: Bacteria; Bacillati; Bacillota; Bacilli; Lactobacillales; Streptococcaceae.